GAAAGGCGCGCGAUACAGGGUGACAGCCCCGUACACAAAAGCGCAUGUGCUGUGAGCUCGAUGAGUAGGGCGGGACACGUGGUAUCCUGUCUGAAUAUGGGGGGACCAUCCUCCAAGGCUAAAUACUCCUGACUGACCGAUAGUGAACCAGUACCGUGAGGGAAAGGCGAAAAGAACCCCGGCGAGGGGAGUGAAAAAGAACCUGAAACCGUGUACGUACAAGCAGUGGGAGCACAGGUUUACCUGUGUGACUGCGUACCUUUUGUAUAAUGGGUCAGCGACUUAUAUUCUGUAGCAAGGUUAACCGUAUAGGGGAGCCGUAGGGAAACCGAGUCUUAACCGGGCGUUAAGUUGCAGGGUAUAGACCCGAAACCCGGUGAUCUAGCCAUGGGCAGGUUGAAGGUUGGGUAACACUAACUGGAGGACCGAACCGACUAAUGUUGAAAAAUUAGCGGAUGACCUGUGGCUGGGGGUGAAAGGCCAAUCAAACCGGGAGAUAGCUGGUUCUCCCCGAAAGCUAUUUAGGUAGCGCCUCGUGAAUUCAUCUCCGGGGGUAGAGCACUGUUUCGGCUAGGGGGCCAUCCCGGCUUACCAACCCGAUGCAAACUGCGAAUACCGGAGAAUGUUAUCACGGGAGACACACGGCGGGUGCUAACGUCCGUCGUGAAGAGGGAAACAACCCAGACCGCCAGCUAAGGUCCCAAAGUCAUGGUUAAGUGGGAAACGAUGUGGGAAGGCCCAGACAGCCAGGAUGUUGGCUUAGAAGCAGCCAUCAUUUAAAGAAAGCGUAAUAGCUCACUGGUCGAGUCGGCCUGCGCGGAAGAUGUAACGGGGCUAAACCAUGCACCGAAGCUGCGGCAGCGAACGUAUCACCCAAGACAACUUUACGGAGUUGACGAUUGACGGAGCGAAGCGACGUCAAAGCGUUCAUUAAAGUCGAGUUGGCUUAGGGAUACGUUCGUUGGGUAGGGGAGCGUUCUGUAAGCCUGUGAAGGUGUGUCGUGAGGCAUGCUGGAGGUAUCAGAAGUGCGAAUGCUGACAUAAGUAACGAUAAAGCGGGUGAAAAGCCCGCUCGCCGGAAGACCAAGGGUUCCUGUCCAACGUUAAUCGGGGCAGGGUGAGUCGACCCCUAAGGCGAGGCCGAAAGGCGUAGUCGAUGGGAAACGGGUUAAUAUUCCCGUACUUGGUGUUACUGCGAAGGGGGGACGGAGAAGGCUAUGUUGGCCGGGCGACGGUUGUCCCGGUUUAAGCGUGUAGGUGUGUGUUCCAGGUAAAUCCGGUU
This 1282-nucleotide ribosomal RNA is filed under the name Salmonella enterica subsp. enterica serovar Typhimurium. Its description in RNAcentral is "partial 23S ribosomal RNA". It matches the Rfam family "Bacterial large subunit ribosomal RNA", at positions 345 to 1547 of the family's 2925-position model. The record is from RNAcentral. Lineage: Bacteria; Pseudomonadati; Pseudomonadota; Gammaproteobacteria; Enterobacterales; Enterobacteriaceae.